Molecule: small nuclear RNA, 135 nt
Organism: Toxorhynchites rutilus septentrionalis
Lineage: Eukaryota; Metazoa; Arthropoda; Insecta; Diptera; Culicidae
Product: U4 spliceosomal RNA
Exons: 1
Source: RefSeq, a predicted model, not a curated record
AGCUUUGCGUAGUGGCGCUAUCGUAACUAAUGAGAUUUUACCGAGAUGCGAUUAUUGCUAGAUGAAAAAGAAUUGCGUAUUAUUCGAAUAUAUCCUUCUUUCGGGUAAGUGCCGCGUUCGGGUAAAUGUUACAUU